This 343-nucleotide long non-coding RNA is filed under the name Pongo abelii (Sumatran orangutan). RNAcentral describes it as "lincRNA". The record is from RNAcentral. Lineage: Eukaryota; Metazoa; Chordata; Mammalia; Primates; Hominidae.
CUUUUUGGGGUCGAGUCCGAGGCGGAAGAGGUUUGUUAAUGCGUUCGCCAUGUGCUACGAUCCUGGGACGAACUGGGCCACGAGCGUGGCGUUGAGGGCGGUCCGAACGCUGCAGGCCGGCCAGGUCCCCGGGCGUCCCGGCCUGGCCUACGCUCCACUUUGUCCCUUAGCGUUUAAACGUUUCUUCCCGAAUCGCAGGCCCCCAGCUACCUGCAGGUUUCGUCGCGAGCCGGCUGCAAAUUUUGAACCUAAGUAAACCUCAAUCCGGAGGGCCUAGCGGUAAGGUGGGCGCUGUGUCUGUUGAAGUGCUUAGCAAUAAAGCAAAGGUAGUGAGUUGAUUCGG